RNAcentral lists this transfer RNA (89 nucleotides) under Aspergillus versicolor CBS 583.65. It matches the Rfam family "tRNA". Rfam says of the family: Transfer RNA (tRNA) molecules are approximately 80 nucleotides in length. Lineage: Eukaryota; Fungi; Ascomycota; Eurotiomycetes; Eurotiales; Aspergillaceae. The record is from Rfam by way of RNAcentral.
UCCUCGAUGGUCUAACGGUAAUGAUUUCCGCUUGUCACUCCCAAAAGGAACAAGCGCGGGAGACCUGGGUUCGACUCCCAGUCGGGGAG